AACGAACGCUGGCGGCAUGCCUAACACAUGCAAGUCGAACGAGACCUUCGUGUCUAGUUGCGCACGGGUGCGUAACGCGUGGGAACCUGCCCUUAGGUUCGGAAUAACUCCCCGAAAGGGGUGCUAAUACCGGUUAAUGUCUUCGGACCAAAGAUUUAUCGCGUUUGGAUGGGCCCGCGUUGGCUUAGCUGGUUGGUAGUGUAAAAGCCUACCAAGGCGACGAUCCAUAGCUGGUAUGAGAGGAUGAUCAGCCACACUGGGACUGAGACACGGCCCAGAAUCCUACGCAAGGGAGCAGUGGGGAAUAUUGGACGAUGGGCGCAGGCCUGAUCCAGCAAUGCCGCGUAAGUGAUGAAGGCCUUAGGGUUGUGAAGCUCUUUUAGCCGGGAUGAUAAUGACGGUACCGGGAGAAUAAGCUCCGGCUAACUCCGUG
Molecule: ribosomal RNA, 433 nt
Filed under: uncultured bacterium
Lineage: Bacteria
Description: partial 16S ribosomal RNA
Rfam family: Bacterial small subunit ribosomal RNA
Source: RNAcentral